UUGCCAGCCCGCUCAAGAAACUCAAAGGAAGUUGACGGGGCCCGCACAAGCGGUGGAGUAUGUGGUUUAAUUCGAUGCAACGCGAAGAACUUACCUGGUCUUGACAUCCCGGAGACCCUUAGGAAACUAGGGGGUGCUUCCAUCUGGAAGAAUCUGGAGACAGGUGCUGCAUGGCUGUCGUCAGCUCGUGUCGUGAGAUGUUGGGUUAAGUCCCGCAACGAGCGCAACCCUUGCCUUUAGUUGCCAGCAGUUCGGCUGGGCACUCUAAAGGGACUGCCGGUGUUAAACCGGAGGAAGGUGGGGAUGACGUCAAGUCCUCAUGGCCUUUAUGACCAGGGCUACACACGUACUACAAUGGCCGAUACAAAGGGCAGCGACACUGCGAGGUGAAGCCAAUCCCGUAAAAUCGGUCUCAGUCCGGAUUGGAGUCUGCAACUCGACUCCAUGAAGUUGGAAUCGCUAGUAAUCGUGGAUCAGCAUGCCACGGUGAAUACGUUCCCGGGCCUU
Molecule: ribosomal RNA, 507 nt
Filed under: uncultured Desulfobulbus sp.
Lineage: Bacteria; Pseudomonadati; Thermodesulfobacteriota; Desulfobulbia; Desulfobulbales; Desulfobulbaceae
Description: bacterial SSU rRNA
Rfam family: Bacterial small subunit ribosomal RNA
Source: RNAcentral